This 253-nucleotide ribosomal RNA is filed under the name uncultured bacterium. RNAcentral's name for it is "partial 16S ribosomal RNA". It matches the Rfam family "Bacterial small subunit ribosomal RNA", at positions 524 to 776 of the family's 1533-position model. The record is from RNAcentral.
UACAGAGGGGGCAAGCGUUGUUCGGAAUUACUGGGCGUAAAGGGCGCGUAGGCGGCCUUCUAAGUCGAACGUGAAAUCCCUGGGCUCAACCCAGGAACUGCGUCCGAGACUGGUGGGCUCGAAUCCGGGAGAGGGAUGUGGAAUUCCAGGUGUAGCGGUGAAAUGCGUAGAUAUCUGGAGGAAUACCGGUGGCGAAGGCGGCAUCCUGGACCGGCAUUGACGCUGAGGAGCGAAAGCCAGGGGAGCAAACGGG